This 468-nucleotide ribosomal RNA is filed under the name uncultured bacterium. RNAcentral's name for it is "partial 16S ribosomal RNA". It matches the Rfam family "Bacterial small subunit ribosomal RNA", at positions 28 to 507 of the family's 1533-position model. The record is from RNAcentral.
GACGAACGCUGGCGGCGUGCUUAACACAUGCAAGUCGAACGGAAAGGCCCUGCUUUUGUGGGGUGCUCGAUUGGCGAUCGGGUGAGUAACACGUGAGUAACCUGCCCUUGACUUUGGGAUAACUUCAGGAAACUGGGGCUAUUACCUGAUAGGAUCUCCUGCUGCAUGGUGGGGGUUGGAUAGUUUCGGCUGUUGGGGAUGGACUCGCGGCUUAUCAGCUUGUUUGUGGGGUAGUGGCUUACCAAGGGUUUGACGGGUAGCCGUCCUGAGAGGGUGACCGGGAACAUUGGGACUGAGAGACGGAGCAGAAGGCAACGGGAGGCAGCAGUGGGGAAUAUUGCACAAUGGGCGGAAGCCUGAUGCAGCAACGCCGCGUGCGGGAUGACGGCCUUCGGGUUGUAAACCGAUUUCGCCUGUGACGAAGAGUGAGUGACGGUAAUGGGUAAAGAAGCACCGGCUAACUACGUG